GGGGUGCUCGAGUGGCGAACGGGUGAGUAACACGUGAGUAACCUGCCCUUGACUUUGGGAUAACUUCAGGAAACUGGGGCUAAUACCGGAUAGGAGCUCCUGCUGCAUGGUGGGGGUUGGAAAGUUUCGCGGUUGGGGAUGGACUCGCGGCUUAUCAGCUUGUUGGUGGGGUAGUGGCUUACCAAGGCUUUGACGGGUAGCCGGCCUGAGAGGGUGACCGGCCACAUUGGGACUGAGAUACGGCCCAG
RNAcentral lists this ribosomal RNA (248 nucleotides) under uncultured Actinomycetales bacterium. Its description in RNAcentral is "partial 16S ribosomal RNA". It matches the Rfam family "Bacterial small subunit ribosomal RNA", at positions 84 to 334 of the family's 1533-position model. The record is from RNAcentral. Lineage: Bacteria; Bacillati; Actinomycetota; Actinomycetes; Actinomycetales.